AAAGUUCUGGAUUGUGCCUCUUCCCAGCUGGGGCCGGCAGCCACCUGAGAGACACACCAGGGAACCUGGUAUCGUGAGCUGUGCAUGCCAAGCCCGGGGCAUUCCAAGGGCUUCUAUCCCCAUCAUAUCCAUUAUUUGGCUUCAAAUCACCUCAGUCAAUAAAAACACCAUUGUUGGUUUGCACCUCUCAGAAAAUUUGUGUGCAUUAAACACUUUGGCAAUAUUUAUCUGUCCUGCCAUCUGUCUUACUUUCUACACAUUCUCAACAGUCUGGCCUAGAAAGCACCCAAAAUCACCUGAGCGUCGUAAAAUUAGUCCACGGCUGUCAGAGAAACGCGUGGAGACACAGCUGCGGCCCUGCCGCCUGAUUUAAUGAGGUUCUGAAAGGAUGUGGACAAGGAUGCUUCCCCUUGGUUGCCAUGGGAACAGGGCACUCAGAGCAGGUGUCAGCAGCAUCGAAAUCAAGAUGAAUCAGCGGAUGGCUCCUCGUGCAGGGAGGCGUGGACCAAGCCUUGUGGCUCCAGUCCUGGCAUCAUCGCAUUGGGCGGAGUCAAGAACGGGGCCCGAACAUCGUCCAGACUUUAUCCUGGACACACCGCGUUGCUGCACAAGCUCUAUGACCCCCGAAGCCUUACACUUGGAGGAUUCCAGAGUUGGAUGCUCAGAGACGUCCGUUCUUCUUGGAUCCUCAUUCAUUGGAAUGUGAUGAUUUGGGCCAAAAUUCUGCAUCCUGGAUAAUUCAGAUAAUCACCUCAACUCCAUAUUUUGCCUGAGUGUCAAGAACUGACUCCAAAAAGCAGAACAGCUUCCGCUGCAAAUGUGGUGGCGUAAGUACCCAGUCCAUCACUUAGCUCAGGCCAUCUGCACGUCUUGUCCGAGGGACCACGGCGCGGGUUUGCUACCCCAGGCUGGCUUGUGCACCUGUCACCACAGAGCGGAGCAGUCAGAGGGAGCCAUGAGGUCCUGGCCGGGGAGACUGGGUUCAGAGUGUUCAGAAAGGCCACGAAGAAGGUGGUGGAGUCUGAAUAAUGAGCUGUUUGGUAGGCUGGAACAGACCACGGUAGAGCUGGAGCCACGGUCAUGGGCACAGCUGGCUGAUUCCAUCUCAACCUCGGCACCUCCUGCACAGCACCGGGCAAGCGGCUCAUGCUCUGCGUCACCUGUAAAACCAGUGAUGACCAGGACCCUGCUUCUCAGCGUGCACGACGGAAGUGAUUUCUGCCGUGCUAGGACACAGCUGUUGCUGCUCUGAGAUUCAGCCGGCCCCGCCACUGCUUUUCCUGGGACAGCUCCCUCUGCGGCUCCUCCUCCCAGGCGCAGAGGACACGCCCAAGCCUCCCAGCUGCCCCGAGACGCCUCCACCCUCUCCUCGGUCCCCCCGUUUUAAUAACAACAGCAGCAGAUGCUGCGUGUCCAACUCUUGCCAUGAAGCUCUGUGCCUGUGUUACUUCACGGCCUCUUGGUUGUCCUGGGGGGCAGGUGCUGGUGUGCACCCCACUUCACAGAUGAAGAAAUCGAGGCACAGAAAACCUCAGACACGGGCUGGGGCCACACACGCAGAUGUGCGGAGCUGGGAUGUGGCU
This is a long non-coding RNA of Oryctolagus cuniculus (rabbit), 1583 nucleotides long. Lineage: Eukaryota; Metazoa; Chordata; Mammalia; Lagomorpha; Leporidae. The record is from Ensembl.